Molecule: long non-coding RNA, 484 nt
Organism: Daucus carota subsp. sativus
Lineage: Eukaryota; Viridiplantae; Streptophyta; Magnoliopsida; Apiales; Apiaceae
Exons: 4
Source: RefSeq, a predicted model, not a curated record
GUCCAUGGUUGUUUUUGUAUGGCUGAAAAUUGCUACUUUUUUAGUCCUCUACAUAUUUCCUCAUCAAUUUAUACCUCUGACACAAAAUCUUGAUAAUCUUGCUGUGGAAGGAUCUGAUGCCACCUUCGUCGGGUUAGAGCCCAAGCCGGUAGCUUAGUGAAGUCAAAGUUGGCGAAGAAUAUGAGAUACUUGUUACCAAUUUCGCAGACUAAAUCUUGGAUGCAUAGAUGAGAAAGGAGUAGUGAUUGCUGCUCAUGGUCUGAGUUCUAUUGAUGAUAGCACCAAAGAAAAGCUGGCACCAUUUGCAUCUUUAACUCGUGAUAAAAGCUAUGCUAGUCGGGAUCUUUAAAAGGAGAGCUAAUGAGGUUGGCAAUAGGUCGAGUUUCCAAUGGUGACCUUGAGUUUGCUGAGAAGAUAUGCAGGUUUCUAGAGAUCCACAGGCAACUGACUGUUCUUGCCCCAGACAUGGACAUGGACGAUACAG